Long non-coding RNA from Drosophila willistoni, 935 nucleotides. RefSeq lists it as uncharacterized. The transcript has 2 exons. The record is from RefSeq and is a predicted model, not a curated record. Lineage: Eukaryota; Metazoa; Arthropoda; Insecta; Diptera; Drosophilidae.
CAUUUUCAUUGUCAAUACCCCAGAUCCGAUUCGGAUUCAUUUCAGUAGCAAAGCACCAGAGCAAGUAACAACAUUAAUAAGUCUCUAAACAAAAUUAAGGACAUUGCUCGAUAUUAAUGAGGUCACCCCGGUUACCGAAUACAAUGGACGGCAUUCCAUGGGAGCAGCCAAUGGAGACACUGUAGAUUGGUUGGCGCGAUCUUGGGGCCUAAUGACGACUUAUUUGAACGACUUCAUUGAAUGCCUAUUUCAGUGACGUUCUGGUCGACCAUUGGGAGUGAAUUUUUCGUGGAAACGUUUACCCACUAUCGCCGAUGAGAACGACACCGUAAUUCGCGUUCAAUGAAGUCGCUUCGGUAAGACGUCAUUUUGCACCAUGUAUCGCGCCAACCAAUCCAUAGUAUCCUCGUUGGCUGCUGCGAUGAAGAGCCGCCCAUUGUAGUCAGUGACUGGGGUGACCUCAUUAAACUCUGGACAGCGAACGUUUCUGAAUCCCCGAAAAAUCCCAAAGAAGUCUAGCAGAUUUUUGGUACACUCCGAGAAAGAAACGACCAAAACAAAGAGCCUGGUCUCUGGGAGUUCACUUAAGGGAGCCGCUGUCCAUUUACCUCUUUCGGUUCCAUUUCGUGCUAUGACGGGGCGCAGCCUCGCAUACCGCAUGCCUCCACCACAGACGAGGUGGUCUGCAAGCUCCUGUUACUGGAUUCAAGGACCUGUCUGAACUUUGAUUCCAAGAAAACCCAUUGCUUGAUCCAAAGGAGGGCUCAAUGCUUGAGCUGAGUUCGGCGCACCUUCAAAACCAACUGAGGCCAACUUGGCUCCACAACUUCCAAUGGAACGGAACUGGUCCAACACGACCAGCCCGAAGAGAUGCUGUUUAAAUCUUAAUUCUAUUGCAGUUUAAGAGAAAGAAAUAAAAGACCAAUUAGAAAAUA